RNAcentral lists this long non-coding RNA (1554 nucleotides) under Mus musculus (house mouse). RNAcentral describes it as "predicted gene 14204, transcript variant 2 (Gm14204)". The record is from RNAcentral. Lineage: Eukaryota; Metazoa; Chordata; Mammalia; Rodentia; Muridae.
GUGCUGCAUUUCUGGAGGAGGUGCUAAGCAGACGUCCUGGCCCGUCCCACCUUGCUGCUGCCACAAGGAGGGAGGAGUUCAGUGUGGGCUGGUUCUCGAAGGUCCCCACCCUCGGAACUAUCUUCCAGAGUCCCGGAGCUGUGCGGGGGCCCCGGAUCCUCUGGCUAACCGUCCGGAUAACCAACAGGACAGACAGUCUCUUUCUUCAUUCUCUAAUGCUCUGCCUUGAACCAGUUCCUGUGAUGGUGCUGGGCUAUAAAAAUAAAUUUACCCACCUUCUGUGAUGGCUUGAAUAUGCUCGGCCCAGGAAGUGGCACUAUUAGAAGAUAUGGCCUUGUUGGAGUAGGUGUAUCACUGUACAAGUGGGCUUUAAGACUCUCAUCUGCCUAGAAGUCAGUCUUCUACUAGCAGCCUUCAGAUGAAGAUGUAGAACUCUCAGCUCCUCCUGCACCAUGCCUACCUGGAUGCUGCCAUGCUUCUGCCUUGAAGAUAAUGGACUGAACCUCUGAACCUUGUGGGCAAGAAUGCUUGUGCAUAGGCGUGUGUGUUCCACACUGUGCACAUGAAGGUCGGAGGACAAUGUUCAGGUGCCAGUUGACUCUCUCCUUCUGCUACGUGGAUCCUGGGAGGGAACUACAUCAUCACACUUGUCCAGUAAGCACUUCUAUCUACUGAGCUGUUUCUCCUGCCCUCUGUUAUGUUCUUUUGUUCAUUUGUUUGUUUGUUUGGUUGUUUUGUAUUGUUUUAGUUUGUUGAGACAGGGUUUCUCUGUAUAGCCCUGGCUGUCCUGGAAUUCACUCUGUUGUCUAGGCUGGCCUUGAACUCAGAAAUCUACCUGCCUCUGCCUCCCAAGAGCUGGGAUUAAAUGCGUGCACCACCACUGCCUGGCCUGUUAUGUUCCUAAUACGCAGAACAGAAAAACGAUCUGCAGACAAGCUUGCUGGCUGGGGAGAGAUGCAAAGAACAGUGUGAGAAAGUCCCAUGGGCCUGAAAUUGUGUGGAUAAAGACUCUUAAUUUCUUAUGAUGGCUAUUUCCUUUGUUGGGAGUGUAAGACACAUUCAGUCCUUUAAUGAUACUUAGAAGAAGGCAGCACCUGCCCUCAAGACACACAGACACUACUUAUUAACUGAAGCCAAUCAGUGUCCCAGAAGCCACACAAGGUGGAUAUGCUUGUCACCCACACGGUGCCGACGAGGAGGCUGAGGCACAGAGCCUGAGUAGCAUAAGCGGUCUCUCUGUUUCCAGAGUGUGUUACUGUCCCUAGAGACUGGCCCACCUCUCUGGGUCUCAGCAUUUCUUAUCAGUGUAAUAGCUCUCAUACGACAUCAAAGGACUGAUUUCAGGAUUUAAAGUGACAGUGUUUAUCGAGUAUCUUGCCCAGUGACUGCUAUUAAUAUGAUCUGAGGUUAUUAUCAGCAAUACUGCCAUUUUCAGGCUGCCGAGAAGGGGGUCACUUCGGGGCAGAGCCCUGGAAAGACCGUUUCUCGGCCAGGAGGUGAGGAAGCAGAGGAUGAAGGAGAGCUCAUUGUUUUAAUAAACUCACACUCGGUCUC